Molecule: ribosomal RNA, 488 nt
Filed under: uncultured bacterium
Lineage: Bacteria
Description: bacterial SSU rRNA
Rfam family: Bacterial small subunit ribosomal RNA
Source: RNAcentral
GAUGAACGCUGGCGGCGUGCUUAACACAUGCAAGUCGAACGAACGGAGAAGAAGCUUGCUUCUUCAAAGUUAGUGGCGGACGGGUGAGUAACGCGUGGGUAACCUGCCCUACAGAGGGGGAUAACGUUUGGAAACGAACGCUAAUACCGCAUAAACUAUGGAUUGCUGCAUGGCAAUUAUAGCAAAGAUUUAUCGCUGUAGGAUGGACCCGCGUUGGAUUAGCUAGUUGGUGAGAUAACAGCCCACCAAGGCGACGAUCCAUAGCCGGCCUGAGAGGGUGAACGGCCACAUUGGGACUGAGACACGGCCCAAACUCCUACGGGAGGCAGCAGUGGGGAAUAUUGCACAAUGGGCGCAAGCCUGAUGCAGCGACGCCGCGUGAAGGAUGAAGGUCUUCGGAUUGUAAACUUCUAUCAGCAGGGAAGAAUAAAUGACGGUACCUGACUAAGAAGCUCCGGCUAACUACGUGCCAGCCGCCGCCGUAACAC